UGAGUACGAGGUGCUACGGCAUCGAAGCAGUCUAUGUCAUACUUCCAAGAAAAGCUUGCACUGUCAUAAACAAAGAAUGCCUGUACCAUAACCGACACAGGUGGGUAGGUAGAGUAUACUAAGGGGCGCGAGAUAACUCUCUCUAAGGAACUCGGCAAAAUGACUCCGUAACUUCGGGAGAAGGAGUGCCUUAUUUCUAAGGUUGCAAUAACAAGAUCCAAGCAACUGUUUACCAAAAACACAGGUCUCCGCUAAGUCGUAAGACGAUGUAUGGGGGCUGACGCCUGCCCAGUGCCAGAAGGUUAAAGAAGUUGGUUAGCAUUAGCGAAGCUGAUAACUGAAGCCCUGGUGAACGGCGGCCGUAACUAUAACGGUCCUAAGGUAGCGAAAUACCUUGUCGGGUAAGUUCCGACCCGCACGAAAGGCGUAAUGAUUUGGAUACUGUCUCGGAGAGGGGCUCGGUGAAAUAGACUUGUCUGUGAAGAUGCGGACUACCUGCACCUGGACAGAAAGACCCUAUGAAGCUUUACUGUAACUUGAGAUUGAAAUUGGACUUUAUUUGCGCAGUAUAGGUGGGAGGCGUUGAGAAUAAUCUUGCGGGAUUGUUGGAGCCAUCAGUGAGAUACCACUCUUGUAAUGUUAGAUUUCUAACUUUGUAUCAUUAUCUGGUCAAAGAACAGUUUCAGGCGGGCAGUUUGACUGGGGCGGUCGCCUCCCAAAGGGUAACGGAGGCGCACAAAGGUUUCCUCUGAACGGGUAGAAAUCGUAUCUAGAGUGUAAAGGCAUAAGGAAGCUUGACUGUGAGACCUACAAGUCGAGCAGGGACGAAAGUCGGUCUUAGUGAUCUGACGGUGCUGAGUGGAAAGGCCGUCACUCAACGGAUAAAAGUUACUCUAGGAUAACAGGCUGAUCUCCCCCAAGAGUUCACAUCGACGGGGAGGUUUGGCACCUCGAUGUCGGCUCAUCGCAUCCUGGGGCGGUAGUCCGUCCCAAGGGUUGGGCUGUUCGCCCAUGAAAGCGGUACGCGGGCUGGGUUCAGAACGUCGUGAGACAGUUCGGUCCAUAUCCGGUGUAGGCGUUAGAAUAUUGAGAGGAGCCUUCUCUAGUACGAGAGGACCGAGAAGGACAUACCUCUGGUGUACCAGUUAUCGUGCCAACGGUAAACGCUGGGUAGCUAUGUAUGGAGUGGAUAACCGCUGAAAGCAUCUAAGUGGGAAGCCCACCUCAAGAUAAGUAUUCUC
Molecule: ribosomal RNA, 1241 nt
Filed under: metagenome
Description: bacterial LSU rRNA
Rfam family: Bacterial large subunit ribosomal RNA
Source: RNAcentral